RNAcentral lists this transfer RNA (67 nucleotides) under Marmota monax (woodchuck). RNAcentral describes it as "tRNA.Ala". The record is from RNAcentral. Lineage: Eukaryota; Metazoa; Chordata; Mammalia; Rodentia; Sciuridae.
GGAUUGUGGCUCAGUGGUAGAACGUUCACUUAGCAUGGGCAGGACCCGAGUUCGAUUCUCAGCACCA